AUGGUGAGCCCCUACGCCACCGCCCUCUCUCCUCUCCUCCCCUACUCCCUCACCUAUCUCUCUCCCCUGCAGACGUACCCCGCCGCCAGGAGGCCAGGAGGCCGCCAUGGAGGCCCGUCCCGAGCUCGCCUCGCUGCUCCUCCGGUGACCCUCGUUGCGCCUGGAUCCGGGCGGAUCCGACGAUUCCCCGACGCGCAGGCGGGCCGGCACACGGUGCUAGGCGAAGGAGCCCUCCCAUGGCGGAUGAAUCGACUAGCCGAAAUCCCUGGGCCCCCGAAAUUUCUUGACUGGCCCUACUCACGAGAGCCAAAAUCCCUGGAGGCUGGAGUGGUAGAUGAUCUCAUGCGACAGUGGGUUGAAAGUGAGCUAGAUGCUCGUGCCGUCGGUUUCGAACGCGUGCUGCCGGUCGGCUCCUUGUGUCCUCCAGUGGCUUCCAUUGAGGUUCAUCCUGUGGCAUUUCUUGGAGCAGAUGCAGUCGACAUGUAUGCUGGGAGCAUGCUAAUGGGGGCACCUAAAGUGUUCGACGGAAUGGCUAUCAUAUUGGUGCUUUACCAUCUCACCUCACCACCACUGAUAUCCCAAAUUAUCCCACCAAGAAAGAUGGCCGCGUCGUCCUGGCCUGCGCUCCCGGCCACCCAGCGGGAUGUCCAGGCUGUCGUUGCCAAGGACGUGGAGCUGCACUGGCCUCUAUUGGCGCACCGUGCCCAAUGUCAGUGCUGCCAAUAUUGCUUAUUUGAUCAACUUCGGGGCCAAUUAGCUGAUGGGAGACAGGGAGAACGAAGGUUGACGAGGCUUAGGCAGUCUGCUGACAGGAAAUGCAAUAGUGAUUUCGCAAGAGAAAUGGAGGUGAUGGCUAGGCUCUGGCACGACAAUGUUAUCCACCUCCUUGCUUACUUCAGUGAAUGCGAUGAGCGGAUACUCAUCUAUAGCUAUAUGUCGAACAACAGCAUGGAUCUCUGCUUAUACUUCUAUAUUUUUUCUUGCCUAUGCUCAGAAUUUGGAUCACAAUAG
This 1011-nucleotide ribosomal RNA is filed under the name Triticum aestivum (bread wheat). RNAcentral's name for it is "partial small subunit ribosomal RNA". The record is from RNAcentral. Lineage: Eukaryota; Viridiplantae; Streptophyta; Magnoliopsida; Poales; Poaceae.